Molecule: ribosomal RNA, 497 nt
Filed under: uncultured bacterium
Lineage: Bacteria
Description: partial 16S ribosomal RNA
Rfam family: Bacterial small subunit ribosomal RNA
Source: RNAcentral
GAUGAACGCUGGCGGCGUGCCUAAUACAUGCAAGUCGAGCGAACGUACGAGAAGCUUGCUUUUCUGAUGUUAGCGGCGGACGGGUGAGUAACACGUGGAUAACCUACCUAUAAGACUGGGAUAACUUCGGGAAACCGGAGCUAAUACCGGAUAAUAUUUUGAACCGCAUGGUUCAAAAGUGAAAGACGGUCUUGCUGUCACUUAUAGAUGGAUCCGCGCUGCAUUAGCUAGUUGGUAAGGUAACGGCUUACCAAGGCAACGAUGCAUAGCCGACCUGAGAGGGUGAUAGGCCACACUAGAACUGAGACACGGUCCAGACUCCUACGGGAGGCAGCAGUAGGGAAUCUUCCGCAAUGGGCGAAAGCCUGACGGAGCAACGCCGCGUGAGUGAUGAAGGUCUUCGGAUCGUAAAACUCUGUUAUUAGGGAAGAACAUAUGUGUAAGUAACUGUGCACAUCUUGACGGUACCUAAUCAGAAAGCCACGGAUAACUACGUG